GCAUGUCGAGCGGUAGCACAGGGGAGCUUGCUCCCUGGGUGACGAGCGGCGGACGGGUGAGUAAUGUCUGGGAAACUGCCUGAUGGAGGGGGAUAACUACUGGAAACGGUAGCUAAUACCGCAUAACGUCGCAAGACCAAAGAGGGGGACCUUCGGGCCUCUUGCCAUCAGAUGUGCCCAGAUGGGAUUAGCUAGUAGGUGGGGUAAUGGCUCACCUAGGCGACGAUCCCUAGCUGGUCUGAGAGGAUGACCAGCCACACUGGAACUGAGACACGGUCCAGACUCCUACGGGAGGCAGCAGUGGGGAAUAUUGCACAAUGGGCGCAAGCCUGAUGCAGCCAUGCCGCGUGUGUGAAGAAGGCCUUCGGGUUGUAAAGCACUUUCAGCGAGGAGGAAGGUGGUGAGCUUAAUACGUUCAUCAAUUGACGUUACUCGCAGAAGAAGCACCGGCUAACUCCGUGCCAGCAGCCGCGGUAAUACGGAGGGUGCAAGCGUUAAUCGGAAUUACUGGGCGUAAAGCGCACGCAGGCGGUUUGUUAAGUCAGAUGUGAAAUCCCCGGGCUCAACCUGGGAACUGCAUUUGAAACUGGCAAGCUAGAGUCUCGUAGAGGGGGGUAGAAUUCCAGGUGUAGCGGUGAAAUGCGUAGAGAUCUGGAGGAAUACCGGUGGCGAAGGCGGCCCCCUGGACGAAG
This 692-nucleotide ribosomal RNA is filed under the name Serratia marcescens. RNAcentral's name for it is "bacterial SSU rRNA". It matches the Rfam family "Bacterial small subunit ribosomal RNA", at positions 57 to 738 of the family's 1533-position model. Lineage: Bacteria; Pseudomonadati; Pseudomonadota; Gammaproteobacteria; Enterobacterales; Yersiniaceae. The record is from RNAcentral.